AUGAAGUCCCUCUGGAUCUUGAGCUGGUUAAUAGACUCAAUCGUCUCGUGGAUCUGCAGCGCUGGGCUCCAGCCCCACCUUACUGUCCAGAGCGCUGAUCUCCUGCUGGUUGGCCGUGGACAGCAGGAAGCUGCUCAUCUGCCCCUUCAGGGGCUCCUCCACCUCCACGUCAAUGUCAUAGCACGCCGUCUUCUUCUGGUCCGACGGGUCCACGCUGCCAGGGAAGGCCAGCCCUUGUGUCCAUGCUGCCCCGAUGGAGGCCAAGGGCCUCCGAGGCCUGAUGUGGGGGGUGGGCAGAGGGAGGGAUGGGGCGGCGGGACCACCAUAGUGACUCCCAGCUCUGAGAAGCAGGGAUGGGGGGGGCCUCACCUGAUGACAUGGUUGAUGACAAUCGGGUCAGGGGGCAGCAGAAGGGCUGUGAGGCGCUGGGGAAUCUCAGAAAACUUCAGCCGGGGACAGUCAAAAAUCUGCAGUAGGAGAAAAGAGGUUCCCUGCUCUGCACUCAAAAGAGCCUUCAUUCUCAAAAGGCCCCCCAAGCAGCCAGCUCUCAAUGAGGAGGCGGGGGCCGGCCUGGGCCUGAGGCCUGCUUCCUCCGCCCACGGCGCAACCCCGAGCCGCUCAGCUUCACAGUCGGCCUCAGUCUCUCCAUCUCUGGGAGCCGAAGGCAGGGGCACUGAUCUCAGGGGGCUUGUUAGAAUUAAAUGCGUCAAUUACACACGAAGUGCCUGAAGCAGCGCCUGGCAUGUGGUGAGUGCUCAAUAAACACUGACUGUUGUUUUCACCACUCAAGGCUACCUGUGGUAUUUAUUUUAAAGUUAUAUUAAUAAUAACCUCUAGUUUGGCAGUAUCACUUCCACAGCAGUUUGAUUCUCCUAACUGCCCAGUGGGUAAGACGGGACAGGCGUGGCGAAGAUAAGGAACAAGGCUGCAAACAGCUAAAUGACGGACCCAGUGACUGGCUCCAGGGCCAGAACCUGGGGGCCCUAGCUCCAGGUGCCAAGAACAUGUUCCCCAGAGCCACUAGCUUCCUGGGGUUCCCAAUCGGCCUCACCUGGGGGCUGGGGGUGCUGAGACAGGCGGGCUGCAGCACAGGGCGGUGUGACAGAGCCCAGAUGGGAACCCCGGUCUCCGGCUUGAGAUCAUUCCCGACGGAGUCAAGGAGGCAGGGUGGUGUUCCCGAGCAGAGGCCCUUCCCCUCCCCGUGGCCCCAGGCUCAGGGGAGAGGGUACCUGCUGGAAAUACUUGUCGCCGUUGAUGUACUCCUUGUCGUGGGAGUCCUGCAGCCGGUUGGUCUUCACGUAUUGCCACAGGGCCUGGACGAUGGCCGAGCGGCUCUGCGUGUGCAAGCCCAGCAGCCGGGCCAGGCGGGGAUCCAGUUUGAACUGGGGAGGCUGAGCCAAGGAGGCCAUGAGAAAAUGAGACAAAAAGAGAGUGGGAGGGGCUAGGGACUCAGGACUCGGGGGCUGUGGGGCCUAGGCUCCUUGGAAACAAGCUUCUGGAGCAGGCAGGGUGGAGGGGAGAACGGGGUCUCUCAGGGCAUACAGCUUGCAAGCCAUGACCCACCCCAGCUAGGAGAAGGGUACAGGAGGCGGGAUGCUGGGGGGAGCGGUGUCUGGGAGUGAGGGCACGCACCUGGUAGUCCAGCAUGAGGAGCAGCGUGCAACGCACACUCAGGUCCCCCGGCCUCUUCACCUGGAACCCAUCCGUCUCCUGAGUGGUGGGUGUCCGGUGCCACUGUCCAGGGGUAGGAGCUGAGUCACCUCACAGGCCCGUCUGAGGGCCUUGGAGCUCUGGGUGCAGGACUGGGGGCCUGGCGGAGGGGGUCCCCGACCCAGGUCUACACCACGAACGGGACUGCAUUCUAGGUUCUUUAGGACAGUGGCCUGUGGCCAGUUCGAGGGCAGGAGGGGUCUGGGCCUUUCUUACCUCCACGAGGUGGUUGUCAGGGCCAUAAAGGUCUUUGUCCAGCUCAAUGACCAAGCUCUUGAAGAAGGAAGAGAACUUCCGCUUCUGCUUGCUGGGCUGUGGGAGAGGCACGGACCGUGGGCGCGGAACAGGGCCCACGGUGGCAGAGUGAGUUGGGAGCGGGUGGGGGCUGGCCGGGUAGGGCCACACAGUCAGAAGCAGGCCUGGGCACGUCUCUCUGGACCACCCUCCCGCAGCCAGGGCUGACUUCCCCAGCCCUCGGUGUACACAUCCAGUACCGGCCUCAGCUCAGCCCCAUACCCACCCCAGGACACCUGGAGAGACCUGGGCCAGGACGUACGUCAUCCAGGAGCUUCCCCUCCACCCGCAGCUCCCAGGAGGCGAUGCUGCCGUCAGAAUCCUCGGCAUCGGGCUUCGCAGGGUUAAAAGUAUUGGAGAUAUAAAGACGCAGCUUGCGCUUUUGCUGUAGAGAUAAACAGUGUCAUACAGAGCCAGUUCCCAGGGGGCCAGCCCUGGCUUCUCCCUUUCAGGGACUAGGACUUGGCUCCCUCACCCCACCCCCAACCCAAGGCACCUUCAUGGGCCGCUUCAGAGCCUCCUGGAUGUCCACCCGCUUCCUCAUGAUGGUCUGAUCCAGUUUCCUCUCAAACGCCAGGAGGUCCAUGUAAGCCUGGGACUCUGGGACCAGCUCCCGGAUCUGGAAGUGGGCAGGAAGCGAGGCAGGGAACCAGGGGCUCAGCCAGUCUUGCAGUUGGAACGUGCAGGUGUCACGUGGCCCCAGGAGUGUGCGAGUGUGGCGGGCAGGGAGCUGGCCACAUUCAGGGCAGGGAACUUGGACAGCGCAGACGGGACCUCUGAAUCCAGCCAUGAAGGCCUGGAUGUUACAGGGAUGAAACUGCUGCUCCCACUAGAGAUAUCCAUGCAUUUCAUCACUAGGGGAGGCCGAAGCAACCAUGGAGGCCAGCAGGUGCUUAGGGCUUCACCUCCUCAUCCUGUCCUUUCCCUGUCGCACAGCCUCUGGGUUCCCUUGGGCACCUGUGAAGUGGUCAGGGGCCCCUGGGGUCCCUGAGACAGGAGAUGUCGCGGCUUGGGCCUACAGUGACAUCUCAUCCAGAUGUUCUGCUUGAGCUGGGGUCUCAGCCGUCCUCCAGACCCAGCUGGGCCUGGGUCCCCUUACGCUGCUGGGCCUUCCGGCCAGCUUCUGUUCCCUUCUCUCCUCUGCCAGCCUGUGGUCCCCGAGCCCUCAGCCCCUCUUUGUCCCCUGCCUUUAUGUCUCUGCAGACCGCUGGAAUUCGAUCUGCAGCCCCCCCCCAGACCCCCCCCCCCCACCCAGGAUCCUACCCCCUCUGGCUCUGCGUUCCCCUCUGCCCCACCCCAUCCUUUUGGCCCUGGGGGAGCCUCAUUUCUUAAUUAGCUUUUUAAACAAAAAAAGUGAAAGUGACUAUGAUGUUGAAGCGCUGCUCCUGAGGGGGGAGGGGAGGUGGCCCGGGGUGGUGGUGGCGGGGAGUGGGGGGGGGGGGAGGGGUGGGGGUGGGGUGGGCUGGGGGCUGCUGUGAAAGGCACUCACCCUUUGAGGGAGGAUUUUGUCAGCCAUCUUCCUCCUCUUGGCACUGUACAUUUUUUAAAGAAAAAACCAGGUUACCAUGGCGACAGAUCUGGGAGUAACGAGGCCACCUGCUAAAUUAUCCCGACAUCUCAGCCCGCCUGGCUGGGGUUCCCACAGCCCGCUCAUCUGCCCGCCCGAGGGGCUAUGCCGGCGCCGGCCGUGUGUGGCUCUGUCCUCUCAUGGGGAGCGGAGGUGACUCUGUCCUUUCUCUGGCCUGGGAGCCCCUUUUCUGCCCCGCCACAUCCCCAGAUCCAGAGAAAUUAGCCUUGGAAGGGGCUCGGAGCAGGGGCGCUGCAGAAAUGUUUGGGGAAAGCUGGGCAGAGGCAAGGACAGAGUGGGGGGAUGCAUUGUGAGGACUUUUUUUCCCUCCUCUGAGAAGGGGCACACAAUCCAAGGUGGCUGAGCUGGUGGGGAGGGGAGCUGACCCCCUUGCCCCAUUCCAGAAGCAGGAAGUGAUGGUGUGAAGCUGGUGAGGACCAGCACCCCAGCCACCCUGGGCUAGGAAGGGGACCCUGAUGGGCAGGGGGUGCUCAUGCCCUUGGACCACCUGCCAGCAGGGCCAAGGGACACACCCACAGGUAUCCAGAUAGAGUGGGUACGGAUGUUCCCCUCUGGGGUGUGGCUGGUGGGCUGAACCUGGGGUAGCAGCUGGGACUUGGACUCUGCUGGAUCCACUAGCCGGUUCCGACUCCCAGAAGGAACCCCAGAAAACCCUUGGCGAGUAGAAAUUAGAACCCAGCCUAGGGAAUGGCUGCAUACUGCCCCCGUGUGGUGGUCUCAGCCACUGCCCCAGCCCUGGUCAAAAAUCUAUUCAAGGCUAGACAAGCAGGUUUCACUAAAGGUCUGGUUUGUUUUGAAGAAACUAUCUCUGUGAAACUCUCCAGUUGUACAAGAUAAAUCAGGGACUCUACAAAAGAAUGACUCACUUUGCAAAGAAUUCCUCAUGGGCUUCCUAUAAAUGGUGAAUUUUCCUUGACAUGUAAAAAAAUAUUUAAUAAUGAGGUAAAAUCCACAUUGCACCUUUUAUAGGACUCCAUCUGGUGCGCAAAAGGAAGCAUGUGUGUUUGGCUAAACAGUGAAACCCAGAGGGGUAUCUUCCUUGCCAGGCACCAGCAGGGGCUUUUGGGGGUGCCACUGGCUGGCUCAGACAAGGAAACAGACUGGCCCUUGGUGGCUUGAGGGCAGACCCGUCCAGAAGACAGACCGUGGCAACUCCUCAACAUUUGAGUGCCCAAGAAUCACCAGAGAGCCAGGGCGCGCGGGGGGGCAGGACCCCCCCACCGGGGGGCAACCCCCGGCCCCCCCCGCCACUGGCCAGGGAUUCAGAUUAACAAGAUCCGGAGUGGGGCUUUCGAGGAGUCAAGCCAGGGGCGCUUCUGAGGAAGGCGCACUGGACAACCGCGCUAGGAACCGCAGUGUAAAGCUCGGCCCUGAGCCCUGGUGCCACAGCCCCGCCUCCAUCCCCCGAGAACCAGGGGACUGGGGUGCAGAGAGGGACAGAGCAGGUGACAAGGAGAAGGGCGCGACGGUCACAGCCUGUCUCCACGGUGUGGGCACACAAAGAAACCGGGACAGUGCCCCCUCAGCCCGCCUCCUGGGAAAGCAUCCCACCCGGGACGCCUGAUCCCUGCUGACCCCUCUCCGCCCGGGCUUCCCACCUCCUCCCUCCGGGUCCCGCGUCCGCCCCCUCCGCGCUGGGCACCCCCCCUACCCCCAC
Molecule: long non-coding RNA, 5249 nt
Filed under: Ovis aries (sheep)
Lineage: Eukaryota; Metazoa; Chordata; Mammalia; Artiodactyla; Bovidae
Description: lncRNA (ENSOARG00000025267.1)
Source: RNAcentral